UAUACUUUGUAUCUCCUCUUGCUUCCAAGUUCGGACACUCCCUAGCAAUCCGCUUUUCGCUUUAUUAUGUAUAAAAAGUAAUUCAGACUCUCUUUCCUUUUUCUCUCUCUAGAUCGUUGUAGUGGCAGUCGUCACUCUACUGGAUCGGUUCGCUCUAUUUGUUUACCCGCCCGGAAAAGCAUUUAGCAGUCUGAGAAAAGAGCAUUUGUGCUAAAAUCAUGGGUCUUGAUAAUGCCUUAUCCUCGCCUCAUAGACGAUCACAAGGUCAGAAUGCUUUUGCUUCCUCUUCAUCGCGCAGAAAGUUUUCUCAGAAUGACAUGAGCUGCUCUGCUCUCCUCCAGCGGCACCGCUUCCUUCUAACAGCUCUCGUUCUUCUGGUUGUUCUGUGCACUGUAUACCUUUACUUUGCGGUUACACUGGGGUCAGAAUCAUGUUAUGGCUUACUAGGAACAGAAAGAGAGGUGUGCCUCGCGAAGCAUGGGAAAGAGAGUUUCGGCAAAGGAAAAUUGAAACUGAUCUGAUACUUGAAUUGGUAGUAUGUGUGUUAAUUGCCAAUUAUUUUUGUUAGUGUUAUUAUUUAUGCUAAUGAGCCUUCGGUUUGUGCUAUUUAAUUACAAAAAUUACAUUGUAUACAUGAAUUGCGGAUGAAUAUUCACUUCUAAUUAAUUCUAA
This is a long non-coding RNA of Amaranthus tricolor (Joseph's coat), 672 nucleotides long. RefSeq lists it as uncharacterized. The record is from RefSeq and is a predicted model, not a curated record. The transcript has 2 exons. Lineage: Eukaryota; Viridiplantae; Streptophyta; Magnoliopsida; Caryophyllales; Amaranthaceae.